Salvelinus namaycush (lake trout) is the source of this 492-nucleotide long non-coding RNA. RefSeq lists it as uncharacterized. Lineage: Eukaryota; Metazoa; Chordata; Actinopteri; Salmoniformes; Salmonidae. The transcript has 3 exons. The record is from RefSeq and is a predicted model, not a curated record.
AUGGUUUUCAUCUGAGCCAGUGCUAGCUCGUGAGAUCUGGCUAUGUCGAUAGCUUUGUCCAGCGUUAGCUCAGACCCAACAUUCAAAAGUUUCUCUCUCACUCGCGGUGAGUGUAUUCCAAAUACAAUACGGUCCCUGACCAUCUCAUCCUUGUUUGCAUAAUCACAGUCUUUCACAAGCAGACGCAGCUCUGUCACAAACUGUUCAAAAGACUCGCUAGCUCCCUGUACUUUCUCAUGGAAUUUGUACCUAGCGAAAAUCGUAUUGGUCUUCGGCACAACAUAUGCUUCAAAACGAUCGUAGUAUGUUUUCAGUACCUUUGAUUCAGCCUCGAGGACCCGUGAACAUUAGCUCCACAUGCUGUUUGAACUUACGCCAUGCAUCUGGUAAAUUUGUAGACUUCCAGUCCAUUCGAGAUGAAGGAACUCCAGAAGAAUCCAUAUUAAUUACCCACCAAUCCAGGAUCAAGCAGCGUGAUAAGCGGCAACAGGA